Molecule: ribosomal RNA, 300 nt
Filed under: uncultured Yaniella sp.
Lineage: Bacteria; Bacillati; Actinomycetota; Actinomycetes; Micrococcales; Micrococcaceae
Description: bacterial SSU rRNA
Rfam family: Bacterial small subunit ribosomal RNA
Source: RNAcentral
GCUAACGCAGUGACAAAAGCGGUGGUAAUACGGAGGGGGCAAGGGGUAAACGGAAUAACUGGGCGUAAAGCGCACGCAGGCGGUUAGAUAAGUCAGAUGUGAAAGCCCCGGGCUCAACCUGGGAACUGCAGUUGAAACUGGCUGACUAGAGUCUUGUAGAGGGGGGUAGAAUUCCAGGUGUAGCGGUGAAAUGCGUAGAGAUCUGGAGGAAUACCGGUGGCGAAGGCGGCCCCCUGGACAAAGACUGACGCUCAGGUGCGAAAGCGUGGGGAGCAAACAGGAUUAGAUACCCUGGUAGUC